RNAcentral lists this ribosomal RNA (467 nucleotides) under uncultured bacterium. RNAcentral describes it as "partial 16S ribosomal RNA". It matches the Rfam family "Bacterial small subunit ribosomal RNA", at positions 29 to 507 of the family's 1533-position model. The record is from RNAcentral.
AUGAACGCUGGCGGCGUGCUUAACACAUGCCAGUCGAACGGAAAGGCCCAAGCUUGCUUGGGUACUCGAGUGGCGAACGGGUGAGUAACACGUGGGUGAUCUGCCCUGCACUUCGGGAUAAGCCUGGGAAACUGGGUCUAAUACCGGAUAGGACGAUGGUUUGGAUGCCAUUGUGGAAAGUUUUUUCGGUGUGGGAUGAGCUCGCGGCCUAUCAGCUUGUUGGUGGGGUAAUGGCCUACCAAGGCGUCGACGGGUAGCCGGCCUGAGAGGGUGUACGGCCACAUUGGGACUGAGAUACGGCCCAGACUCCUACGGGAGGCAGCAGUGGGGAAUAUUGCACAAUGGGCGCAAGCCUGAUGCAGCGACGCCGCGUGGGGGAUGACGGCCUUCGGGUUGUAAACUCCUUUCGCUAGGGACGAAGCGUUUUUGUGACGGUACCUGGAGAAGAAGCACCGGCUAACUACGUG